GUACGAGUAUCUCUACCAAUGCGAACGCAUGCAGAAGGCCCUUCUGUGUUCAAUCCCAUCUGGCGAAUUUUGUCCACUUGCGACGAUUUGUUUUCCAGGAUUGUUCCAGAAAGUGAAGAAAUCUAUCAGGAAAUGGAUAGUAUUCGCAGCACUCCGCGAUGAACACGACGGACCGUUUCGCUUUCGCCCUGCCAUUCUGCUAUAUUUCGUUGUGGGCUGCGAAAUGUACAUUAUAUCCACACACGUGCCUGGAAUCCUGGAAGUGACUUACCAUCCAUGCUUUUAACGGAGAUCCUGGAAGAUCUGGACCUCCACUCACAAGCCCAAGCCAUGCGUUUGCGACUGCGGGCGCCGUUAUGGACCUUAUUUCUCUGGAUAUUUAAUGGAGCCCAGAGAGUUCCGUUUACUUGCAGUAAAGUUUAAAAUUCGAUUCUGUUGGCUGGUUUGUUUUAGCCGAAAUCGCGCUUUAAUGUGGAUUCCCAUUAACUUUGCGCAGCGAGAGGGUCUAAGAAAUUUCGCUCACGCUCACUGCGAAGCACAACGGAAUCCCGAAGCAAAACUGAAAUUCGCGAUGGUGUCAAGCAAGGCGGACACUUCCGCGACGAGAAGUGUCACCAUCCAAGCACGGGACCAUGAUUGGGAGUCAGAGCUGCACAGCUGGUGCAGGAUUUCCUGGAAGUUGCGCAAAUCCGCGUGCCUUUCCUGGUGCUCAAAUUCUUUUCCCUGACAAGUAUGGGACUAGAAAGGCGGAAAUACUUCCAGCCCCACUGUGAAGGACUGAUCGUCGAUGCACUGCAAAUGGGCCAAACGCUGUUUUAUACGAUGCAAUACGAAGACAACUGCAGUUCCGCAGCGCGGUCCGUUGUGAUUGGGACGAUGGUCUGCGUUCCCCGUUUAAUUUGUGACUGGGAAGUCGGCUGGCGGCAGACCAGUCGGAGUUUCAUGUGCCCCCGAGGGAAAGCAUCGGUCCAUGGC
Molecule: long non-coding RNA, 975 nt
Organism: Paramacrobiotus metropolitanus
Lineage: Eukaryota; Metazoa; Tardigrada; Eutardigrada; Parachela; Macrobiotidae
Exons: 6
Source: RefSeq, a predicted model, not a curated record